UACGGAGGUGCAAGCGUUACUCGGAAUCACUGGGCGUAAGGAUGCGUAGGCGGAUUAAUAAGUUGGGAGUGAAAUCCUAUGGCUCAACCAUAGAACUGCUUUCAAACUGUUAGUCUAGAAUGUGGGAGAGGUAGAUGGAAUUAGUGGUGUAGGGGUAAAUCCGUAGAGAUCACUAGGAAUACCGAUUGCGAAGGCGAUCUACUGGAACACAAUUGACGCUGAGGCAUGAAAGCGUGGGGAGCAAACAGG
This 249-nucleotide ribosomal RNA is filed under the name uncultured bacterium. Its description in RNAcentral is "partial 16S ribosomal RNA". It matches the Rfam family "Bacterial small subunit ribosomal RNA", at positions 524 to 776 of the family's 1533-position model. The record is from RNAcentral.